AAUUAACACCAUCACAAAACAGUCUGGGGCUCUGUCAACACUGGCAGUACGCAUGUUGAAAUGAGUAUCUGUACUUCGACUGGUCCAUAAAUAUUUUUUGAGCUUGUACUUUGCGCAAGGUACUGAGCUGAGUGCUUAGAGGAUUGAUUCUGAGUCCUGUCAAAGAACGUGUGUCCAGCCACAGCGAUGAGCCUCAGACACUGGGAAAUGACACUGACAGGGCUCAAUAGAACAGAACACAUAGGUUGCAGGAUGGAGGUGGGAAAGGUGCCGAGUGAGGAAGGAAGGCCUUUUAGUGUGCCUCCUCUGUUCCCCUGCCCGGCAGCCACCUGCACCCUUGUUCCUGGCUGCGGGAUGCUGUCCACGAGGCAGAUUCCUUUCACAGGAGACAAAAUCCUCUUGGCCUAAUUUAUCAGAUGAACCUGCAGAAACAGGAUAAAUAUUUAUCUUAUGAAUUAGUGAAUCUCUAAGCCUUCAUUUGUACACCCAGCUGGGAGGAUGCCCUCAUGCCUCAGCCCACGCCAUCCUGGAACUGGCUCCAUCAGCUAGGGAGAGCUAAUGGUUAAAUAUGCAUGACUUUUAGGCUGAGGCAGGCAGAUCACUAGAAUUCAGGAGUUGAAGAUCAGCCUGACCAGCAUGGUAAAACCCUGUCUCUACGAAAAAACACAAAAAUUAGCUAGGUGUAGUGGUGCACGCCUGUAAUCCUAGCUACUCGGGAGGCUGAGGCAGGAGAAUCACUUGAACCUGGGAGGCAGAGGUUGCAGUGAGCCAAGAUCACGCCACUGCACUCCAGCCUGAGCAAAAGUGAGGCUCUGUCUCAAAAAAAAAAAAAAAAAAAAAAGCAUGAUUUUUGUGAGCCAGUGUUAAGCAGUUGGUGUCUUGACACUGGCCAGGAAGAGAGUAUCACGCCAUGGAAACUCACAAACAUUGCCCAUUGGGGUCACCUUGUUUUGUUUUAUUUUUUGUGCACCCGUUUACCAGCACAACAGUGCUUUAACCACUUAGAUUCUGAAAGUCUGUUUCCACCUGUCAAUCUAGAUAAGGAUACCAGUUUCACAGCUCGGUGGGGAGGGUCCCAUGGAUAUACAGCCGUGGACAUGUGGGAAGGUCUCACUAAAUGGGAAGCCUGUUAGUCUGUGUAUAGAGGGAACUGCCGUUUCCCACAGUCUAAAGAGGAUUGACUCGUACCACAAGGAUUUUCAAAAGCCUCAUUCUCCCCUGAAGGGAAAAUACUGCUAUCCUGGUGGGCCCAUGCCAUUUUCUAAGACUUGCCAAGCUUGAGAAGUCUUGCCCUGUUCAAAGAAACCACAUGGAUAAUUCCCGUGACCGGCGCUGGCGGGCCUGGCUGUUCCCACCAGCAGAACCAAAGGGUCCAAUGAGUCACUGCUGCUUUGAAGGCUCAGGAAGCUCAGCCACUGCUGAUAGCCUGACCUAUCCACAGGGAAAACCUAUAAUGUGUCCUUUGACAAAAAUGUGGGCUGCUCUCUGCUCAGCUGACAUCCUCCUCAGAUGCUAUGUGUAUGUGCCACUCCCUCCCAUUGGCGUCAAUGCAGCUGUCCCUGGCACAUGAACCACAACAGUUCUUUCUGGUGCUGCUAUUGACAAAAAAAGUGAGCAAUUUUAAGAUUCUUACAGAGGGCCAAGUGCAGUGGCACAUGCCUAUAGUCCCAGCUACUUGGGAGGCUGAGGUGGGAGGAUGGCUGGAACCCAGGAGCCCUGGGCUAUAGUGCACUAUGCUGAUUGGGUGUCCACACUAAAUGUGGCAUCAAUAUGGUGACAUACUAGAAGCAAAGACCACCAGGUCACCUACGGAGGAGUGAACCAGCCCAGGUCAGAUGCAGGGCAGGUCAAAACUCCUGUGCUGAUCAGUAGUGAGAUUGUGCCUGUGAAUAGCCACUGCACUCCAACCUGGGCAACAUAGCAAGACCCCAUCACUAAAAAAAGAAAGAUUCUUAGAAGGGACUGUUCUGAUAUAUCAGGAAAUCUUCUAUUCUGUUUUUCACAUUAAAAUUUCAUGUAUUUUUUUUCUGAUUACUAAAGCCACACAGCUCUCCAUAGAAAAUUGGGAAAUUGGGCCAGGCACGGUGGCUCACACCUGUAAUCCUAACAAUUUAGGAGGCCUCAGCAGGCAGAUCACUUGAGGUCAGGAGUUCAAGACCAGCCUUGCCAACAUGGUGAAACCCCAUCUAUACUAAAAAUACAAAAUUAUCCAAGCGUGAUGGUGCGUGCCUGUAAUCCCAGCUACUCGAGAGGCUGAGACAGGAGAAUCACUUGAACCAGGGAGGCAGAGGUAGUAGUGAGCUGAGAUUGCACCAUUUCACUCUAGGCUGGGCAAAAAGAUGGAAACUCCAUUUCAAAAAAAAAACGAAGAAGAAGAAGAAAGAAAGAAAGAAAGAAAAGAAAAUUGGGAAAUUGGCCUUCAUUUUAGAAUAGAUGAUAUUUGUACUGGGAGUUUGCCCAAAUGGAGCUAUUUCAGUGGUGGAAUAAGUAGGAAAGAUAAGAGGCUGGUGCCAGUUAGCUGCUACCAUCCAGGGGGGCAAGAAUGAGCUGGUAAAUUUGGGGUACUUUUUUUGAGGAUGGGGUUACAUACUGAUUUUUUUCUACAGCCUUUGCUGACAAAAAUCAUGUCAGGCCAUUUAAACCUCCUUUCUUCAUCAGGGAAUUCUUCAGCUGGGCUCAGCCUUCCUCAAACAGGCGCCCAGCCUCCAGGAAGCAAUGAAAGCCUGAUAAUCCUGUGUACUCAGGAAUACAUUUUCCUUCAGAGUCAUCAGAAACCUAGAUUCAUUAAACUAAUCAGAGGCUGGAGGCUGUGAUAUGAUACCUUCAAAUGUGCAGGUUGGUCGGCUAAGGGCGCCAGGCUGCGAAUAUUUGCAUCCUCAACGUCAAGAUCAUCAUCUUGGAAAACCAGGUUGCAUCUUUUGAGGGAAAGAGCUGUAGCAGCAGGGAAAAAGCAAAGAUCCCAGGACAAAAUGCUGCCUACUGGGUUUAUCCAGAACAUCCCAUGAGUUUGAAUUUUAUUCUUUCCUAGCUAACCCCUGUGGGGCGGAACUGAAGAAUGUUGAAAGAAUGAAGGAGUAAAUAGAUGAAUAGUGAAAUGGCUGUUAGUCCAUUCUCACAUUGCUGUAAAGAAAUACCAAAGUCCGGGUAAUUUAUAAGAAAAGAGGUUGAAUUGGCUCACAUUCUGCAGGCUGUACAGGAAGCAUGGAGGCAUCUGCUUCUGGGGAGGCCUCAGAGAGCUUUGACUCAUGGUGGGAGGCAAAGUGGGAGCAGGUGUCUUACAUGGCAGGAGCCAGGACCUAGAGAGAGAGGGGGGAGGUGCUACACACUUGCAAAUGACCAGAUCUUGUGAGAACUCACUCACUAUGAUGAGCACAGUACCAAGAGGAUAGCACUAAACCAUUCAUGAGAAACCUGCCCACAAGAUCCAAUCACCUCCCCCCAGGCCCCACCUCCAACACCGGACAUUAUAACCGAACAGGAGAUUUGGGUGGGGACGCA
RNAcentral lists this long non-coding RNA (3498 nucleotides) under Homo sapiens (human). Its description in RNAcentral is "HSALNT0247609". The stretch from base 1639 to 1937 matches the Rfam family "Metazoan signal recognition particle RNA". Lineage: Eukaryota; Metazoa; Chordata; Mammalia; Primates; Hominidae. The record is from RNAcentral.